GACGAACGCUGGCGGCGUGCUUAACACAUGCAAGUCGAACGGAAAGGCCCUGCUUUUGUGGGGUGCUCGAUUGGCGAACGGGUGAGUAACACGUGAGUAACCUGCCCUUGACUUUGGGAUAACUUCAGGAAACUGGGGCUAAUACCGCAUAGGAGCUCCUGCUGCAUGUGGGGGGUUGGAAAGUUUCGGCGGUUGGGGAUGGACUCGCAGCUUACCAGCUGGUUGGUGGGGUAGUGGCUUACAAAGGCUUUGACGGGUAGCCUGCAUGGGAGGGGUGACGGCCACCUUGCGCCUGCGGUACGGCCCAGAAUCCUACGGGCGGCAGCAGUGGGGAAUAUUACAGAGUGGGGGGACGCCUGAUGCAAAAACGCCGCGUGCGGGAUGACGGCCUUCGAGUUGUAAACCGAUUUCGAAUGUGACGAAGCGUGCGUGACGGUAAUGGGUCAAGAAGCACCGGCUAACUACGUG
RNAcentral lists this ribosomal RNA (468 nucleotides) under uncultured bacterium. RNAcentral's name for it is "partial 16S ribosomal RNA". It matches the Rfam family "Bacterial small subunit ribosomal RNA", at positions 28 to 507 of the family's 1533-position model. The record is from RNAcentral.